This 484-nucleotide ribosomal RNA is filed under the name uncultured bacterium. RNAcentral's name for it is "partial 16S ribosomal RNA". It matches the Rfam family "Bacterial small subunit ribosomal RNA", at positions 29 to 523 of the family's 1533-position model. The record is from RNAcentral.
AGUGAACGCUGGCGGCGUGCUUAACACAUGCAAGUCGAACGAGAACGGGUUAUAGCUUGCUAUAAUUGUCAGCUAAGUGGCGCACGGGUGAGUAAUGUAUAGGUAAUAUGCCUCUUACUAAGGGAUAACAAAUGGAAACGUUUGCUAAUACCUUAUACUCCUUUUAAACAGAAGUUUAGAAGGGAAAGAUUUAUUGGUAAGAGAUUAGCCUGUAUUGUAUCAGUUAGUUGGUGGGGUAAUGGCUUACCAAGACUAUGACACAUAACUGGUUUGAGAGGAUGAUCAGUCACACUGGAACUGAGACACGGUCCAGACUCCUACGGGAGGCAGCAGUGGGGAAUAUUGCACAAUGGACGAAAGUCUGAUGCAGCAACGCCGCGUGGAGGAUGACACAUUUCGGUGCGUAAACUCCUUUUAUAUGAGAAGAUAAUGACGGUAUUAUAUGAAUAAGCACCGGCUAACUCCGUGCCAGCCGCCGCAGUAA